This is a non-coding RNA of Oryzias latipes (Japanese medaka), 2594 nucleotides long. The record is from RefSeq and is a predicted model, not a curated record. Lineage: Eukaryota; Metazoa; Chordata; Actinopteri; Beloniformes; Adrianichthyidae.
AUAAAAUACACAAAUAAAAAUAAUCAAAUAAAUAAAUCAACUUUAGGACGGUACAGAUUUAUGGGGUUCAGUUUGAGUUACUUUAUCUUUGUCUUUAAAAAUCCCCCUUCAUGCAGCCUAACAAGCUGAAAAUAUUUUCUGUUUUCUUGAUUUUAGUCUGCAUCAUAUUGAACAAACAGAAGCCUGGAGUAACCCGAUUUGAAUUUUAAACUGUAUCACAGCCUCACUUGACACAGAUUUCUGAUUGGUUGAUCACGGUGGGAGGGAAAACUCAUUGGUUGACGUCACCAACGGGCCGGAAUCUGCAAGCGGGAGAAGUGCAGAGAACGAGAGACUUUUGACGACCGUUUGUCGUAUUUUUUCUGCGUUUUAACAAUCCGUGGGAUGAAUCUCCAACACUUUUUUUGCUUGUCUGGAAAAGAUUCAAAUAAAAUCUUUGAAGUUUGCACGGUAAGUUUGCGAUUUCUUUCCUCCAACUCUGAACUCAGUUGAAUGCUAAAGGUGUUUAAGCUAGCUCUGCCAGUAAUGCAGACGUCUGGGCUACUCGCGGUGGCUUUGGCUGUAUAAGUAAUUAUUACAUUUUAUAAAGGUUUACUUGUGCUUUUUGUAAUAAAAAUAGAGACAUUGAAGAGUUAUUUGCAGUGCAGAGUUUACAGGAAUGAGCCUCGAUAUUUUUCCAAACGCGUGAGUGCUAAGUAACUGUUGGAAGACAUUUUGCUCUGUCUUCAUUAAGUUAAGGGUCUGCAUGGUUCAUCCCAUUCACAGUGUGACGACACCACAGACCAUUUCCAUUAUUGCAAACUUCAAAAUGUGCAGUUUCACUGUAUGUUCAAUUUUUACGCUGUAUAAGCUUUUAUCUUGUUUAAAAGAUCAUCUUGCAGACGUUUGGCCUGUCAUGUCAUCUUUUGAAACUGGUUAUGGACAUGUGUUUAAAGUAAAGUCAUCAUUAACUGCUCACAUGUCUAGAAAGCAUAAUCUGAAAAUGUAAGUAUGCAUAUUAGGGAAACAUGUUCUCAGCCCUCUGUCAGUGGUGGAGAUGUUUAGAGAGCACAGAUGUAGCUAAGCCAACAAAUGUCAACACUGAUAUGUACGAGGAUUUUAGUGAAUCAUAAAUCAUAUUUAAAAACCUUUCCAGAUCUUACUUUGUGCUGUAUAAAAUGUGUGUACAUGAUGUUUUUUUCCCCUCUCUGAUUCAAGGUGAUCUAAAUACUCGUGAAAAUGAGUGAAUCAGAACCCAUGUUCCUCCACACUGCCAUUAUGGAGGUCCUACCAGAGCCACAAAAGACAUCCUGGAAGAACACUUGCAGUCCAUUGGAAUAAAUGGAGUUGUAUGAGGAUCUACGAUUCAUAGAAGAGGCUGACUUGCUGCCAGCUUUGAGACCUGUUCAAGCCCGGAAACGUCUUGCUCUCUGGAAAUUGAAAUACCAAACGCCAGAGAACAGCACAUCGUCAUCUGUUGAGACCUCACCAACACAAUCAUCAUCACUUUUGUUAUAGUCACCGAGAAGUUUGUCAUCCACAUCUUCCAGAAGCCGAGGACUGUACAUACAUUGACUGGGAGGACAGCUUUGAAAUUCCAUGGAAAAUGAUGAAAGCAAGACGUUUUUCCAAACUCUAAAAGGCUGCAGAUGAUGCGGGGAGAGCAGAGUGGCUGCUCAGAAGAGAUGAGAUGUUAAAGAGAUGCGCUUUCUUCUGCUCUGCUACUUUAAUGAGGAGGAUGCCAUGUUCUUGUAGAAGAUGCAGACGAGGUCCAGCUGCAGCAGGUGCCGUUGACUCCAACUGUUAUUGUAUGUGGACAGUCUUGCUUUUCCCCAAGGAGGUUCAUGCUCAUUUGGAACCGCUCCAUCGUACACAACAACAUUGCAGCACUAUGACUGAUGUUCAGAAGCUACUUCUGAUUAACCGUCAUUAUCCAACUGAGCUGGCUUCAACCCUGGAGUUUCUGCAAAGCUGAUGUCCUAAGAUGUGCCACUCUACCUGGUUGGGAACAAAUUGAAGAGGCCAAGCUCAAGAAAGCCUUUGUCAGCAAAUGUAGGGCAGAGCAGGUUCUAAGGCCACUGCUAUGAUCUACAGUAUGCGGACUGGUUUCUCUUCCAUCUUUUUUCUUAUUUUUAAUCUUAAUUUGGUUCUCAAAUUGGUUCAUGGAUUUGAUAGUCUGCAAGUUUCAGAGAAUGUUUUUAUGUUUAUGUUUUUAUAAUGUUUUUUUUUUUCAGUGUGUUGUUUAAAAUCUGGAAGUAUUCAUGACCAGCGUGUCAACCAGAUUGAGUAUGCCACGGUUCAUGUACUUAAUGCAUUUAAUAUUUUAAAAAGUGUCUAAUACUGCUACCACAAUUAAAAUGCUGUACUGAUGAUGGUGCUGCCCAAAUAAAGUGUAAAGCAUUUACAUUUCUAGUAUUGUUUUUACUGUUACUGUAUAUCAGUGGUCUCCCAUCCUGGUCCUUGAAGGUCACUGUUCUGGAUGUUUUAGCUGUUUUCCUGCUCCAACAGAUCUGCUGCAGUGGUUGAAUUGCCUCCUCAAGUUCUGCAGGAGGUGGUUAAUCACCUGUUGAUUCACAUCUGGGGAGCAAAGAAACAUCUAAACCCUACAUGAUGGU